RNAcentral lists this ribosomal RNA (511 nucleotides) under uncultured bacterium. Its description in RNAcentral is "bacterial LSU rRNA". It matches the Rfam family "Bacterial large subunit ribosomal RNA", at positions 671 to 1180 of the family's 2925-position model. The record is from RNAcentral.
GGGAAACCGAGUCCGAAUAGGGCGCAUAGUUGCUGGGCGUAGACCCGAAACCAAGUGAUCUAUCCAUGGCCAGGUUGAAGGUGCCGUAACAGGUACUGGAGGACCGAACCCACUAGUGUUGCAAAACUAGGGGAUGAGCUGUGGAUAGGGGUGAAAGGCUAAACAAACUUGGAAAUAGCUGGUUCUCUCCGAAAACUAUUUAGGUAGUGCCUCACGUAUCACUCUCGGGGGUAGAGCACUGUCAUGGCUAGGGGGUCAUCGCGACUUACCAAACCAUAGCAAACUCCGAAUACCGAGAAGUGCGAGCGUGGGAGACAGACAUCGGGUGCUAACGUCCGGUGUCAAGAGGGAAACAACCCAGACCGCCAGCUAAGGUCCCAAAUGACGUGCUAAGUGGUAAACGAAGUGGGAAGGCAUAGACAGCCAGGAUGUUGGCUUAGAAGCAGCCAUCAUUUAAAGAAAGCGUAAUAGCUCACUGGUCGAGUCGUCCUGCGCGGAAGAUGUAACGGGG